CUAUCGCUUACAGAUGGGCCCGCGGUGCAUUAGCUAGUUGGUAGGGUAAUGGCCUACCAAGGCAACGAUGCAUAGCCGACCUGAGAGGGUGAUCGGCCACACUGGGACUGAGACACGGCCCAGACUCCUACGGGAGGCAGCAGUAGGGAAUCUUCCGCAAUGGACGAAAGUCUGACGGAGCAACGCCGCGUGUAUGAAGAAGGUUUUCGGAUCGUAAAGUACUGUUGUUAGAGAAGAACAAGGAUAAGAGUAACUGCUUGUCCCUUGACGGUAUCUAACCAGAAAGCCACGGCUAACUACGUGCCAGCAGCCGCGGUAAUACGUAGGUGGCAAGCGUUGUCCGGAUUUAUUGGGCGUAAAGCGCGCGCAGGCGGUCUUUUAAGUCUGAUGUGAAAGCCCCCGGCUUAACCGGGGAGGGUCAUUGGAAACUGGAAGACUGGAGUGCAGAAGAGGAGAGUGGAAUUCCACGUGUAGCGGUGAAAUGC
RNAcentral lists this ribosomal RNA (485 nucleotides) under Listeria monocytogenes. Its description in RNAcentral is "bacterial SSU rRNA". It matches the Rfam family "Bacterial small subunit ribosomal RNA", at positions 212 to 689 of the family's 1533-position model. Lineage: Bacteria; Bacillati; Bacillota; Bacilli; Caryophanales; Listeriaceae. The record is from RNAcentral.